GCCUGGGUGGCUCAGUCGGUUGAGCGUCCGACUUCGGCUCAGGUCACGAUCUCUCGGUCUGUGAGUUCGAGCCCCACAUCGGGCU
This is a transfer RNA of Felis catus (domestic cat), 85 nucleotides long. It matches the Rfam family "tRNA". Rfam says of the family: Transfer RNA (tRNA) molecules are approximately 80 nucleotides in length. Their secondary structure includes four short double-helical elements and three loops (D, anti-codon, and T loops). Lineage: Eukaryota; Metazoa; Chordata; Mammalia; Carnivora; Felidae. The record is from Rfam.